CCUCCAGCUGAGGCUUCCUCUGACUCAGAGAGUUGUGUGUGUGUUUCAGAGAGAUGUGUGUGUGUUUCAGAGAGAUGUGUGUGUGUUUCAGAGAGAUGUAGAUGUGUUUCAGAGAGAUGUGUGUGUGUUUCAGAGAGAUGUGUGUGUGUUUCAGAGAGAUGUGUGUGUGUUUCAGAGAGAUGUGUUUCAGAGAGAUGUGUGUAUGUGUUUCAGAGAGAUGUGUGUGUGUUUCAGAGAGAUGUGUGUGUGUUUCAGAGAGAUGU
Molecule: long non-coding RNA, 263 nt
Organism: Labrus mixtus (cuckoo wrasse)
Lineage: Eukaryota; Metazoa; Chordata; Actinopteri; Labriformes; Labridae
Exons: 3
Source: RefSeq, a predicted model, not a curated record